Non-coding RNA from Oryza nivara, 208 nucleotides. The record is from Rfam. Lineage: Eukaryota; Viridiplantae; Streptophyta; Magnoliopsida; Poales; Poaceae.
AAUAAGUACAGUUUUAUACUGUUCAUGUCUUACGUUUGAUCGUUCGUUUUAUUUGAAUUUUUUUUACGAUUAAUAUUUUUAUUGUUAUUAGAUGAUAAAACAUGAAUAGUACUCUAUGUGUGACUAACUUAUUUUAAUUUUCUCAUAAAUUUUUCAAAUAAGACGGAUGGUCAAAUAUUGGACACGGAUUCCUAUGGCUGCAUUUAUU